UGCCAGGACAACAGGGCUGCUGCUGGCAGAGGUUGCGGUUCGUCCCACAAAGCGGAGCUUGGAGGCACCAGGAGGAUGUGGAACAACAGCCAAGGAACGCCUGGAGGGGUGCCGCCACCACAAGUGCAGAUCUGCCCCCCUGGCCCUGCAACAUACCCCGGGCCCUGCGUGCC
Molecule: long non-coding RNA, 173 nt
Organism: Nothoprocta perdicaria
Lineage: Eukaryota; Metazoa; Chordata; Aves; Tinamiformes; Tinamidae
Exons: 3
Source: RefSeq, a predicted model, not a curated record